Nycticebus coucang (slow loris) is the source of this 213-nucleotide long non-coding RNA. RefSeq lists it as uncharacterized. Lineage: Eukaryota; Metazoa; Chordata; Mammalia; Primates; Lorisidae. The record is from RefSeq and is a predicted model, not a curated record. The transcript has 3 exons.
CACAAUUAAAUUAUCAGAUAUGUGGACAACCAGCUGUUUGGCUGAAGAGGGAGAAGGCAACACUGAGGCUGUGAAGUCCUUCAUCUUGGGCUGGCCCACUCAGAACUUUGUGGCCACUUUCAAUUCUUCACAGGAAAAAGACAAAUGGCUUUCUCUUCUUCAGUGGAACAUCGAUCUGGAAAAAGUCAAAGAUGACCCAAAGAACAUUCCCUU